Xyrauchen texanus (razorback sucker) is the source of this 457-nucleotide long non-coding RNA. RefSeq lists it as uncharacterized. The transcript has 3 exons. Lineage: Eukaryota; Metazoa; Chordata; Actinopteri; Cypriniformes; Catostomidae. The record is from RefSeq and is a predicted model, not a curated record.
GGUAACUAAGCCUAUAUAUAUUGUGGUCCACCCAGUUUUUCCUUAAAGACUCGUCUAAUCUAACUGAUAUCCUCAGAUUGAAAAAUGCCAGAAGUACCUGAGUGCCAGGUUAUGAAAGAAGAGCUGGACAAAUGCGUUCAGGGGAAAGGUGCGGAGGGCUGUAAGGAGCUGCUGGAAGCCUUUGAGGACUGUGUGAAGGGUGCCACAGCAGCCUCAUGAGGACGACAUGGUUUCAAAUAUGGGUCCUUCCUUUCUGGGUCCUCCAAUGUCCUUGCAUUCCCUCACAUUGCACUGGACUGAACCAUUUUAAGGACAGUGAAGGGGGUGCAAGUGCUGGAAGGCAAUGAAAAUGUCUAUUUUGACCCUGAGAAGUCUUGUUGGUGUCCCUCUAGUCAUCCGUGUCAUUUGUAACUGUGGCAGAAAGAACAACCCAGUGUUGUUAGUUUGUCAAAUUCAA